ACGGGUAGCGGGUGUGAGAGCAUGACCCGCCUCACUGGGACUGAGACACUGCCCAGACUCCUACGGGAGGCUGCAGUCAAGAAUCUUGCGCAAUGGCCGAAAGGCUGACGCAGCGACGCCGCGUGACUGAUGAAGCCCUUCGGGGUGUAAAGGUCUUUUAUUAGGGAAGAAUCAAUGACGGUACCUAAUGAAUAAGGGGCUGCUAAACUCGUGCCAGCAGCAGCGGUAAUACGAGUGCCCCAAGCGUUAUCCGGAAUUACUGGGCGUAAAGGGUCCGCAGGCUGUUUAAUAAGUCAAUGGUCAAAUCCGGUGGCUCAACUGCUGGGCUGCCAUUGAAACUAUUAAACUAGAGACCGGGAGAGGCAAGCGGAACUGCUGGUGUAGGGGUAAAAUCCGUUAAUAUCAGCAGGAACACCAAAUGCGAAGGCAGCUUGCUAGAACGGUUCUGACGCUCAUGGACGAAAGCGUGGGUAGCGAAUGGGAUUAGAUACCCCAGUAGUCCACGCCCUAAACGUUGGUCACUAGACAUUGGAAGUAUCGACCCUUUCAGUGUCGUUGAAUCUAGCUAACGCAUUAAGUGACCCGCCUGGGAAGUACGGCCGCAAGGCUAAAACUCAAAGGAAUAGACGGGAACCCGCACAAGUGGUGGAGCAUGUGGUUUAAUUCGACGAUAAGCGAGGAACCUCACCAGGGCUUGACAUCCCCCGAAUCCCGCAGAAAUGCAGGAGUGCCGCAAGGAAUGGGGUGACAGGUGCUGCAUGGUUGUCGUCAGCUCGUGUCGUGAGACGUACGGUUAAGUCCGGUAACGAGCGCAACCCUCAUUCUGUGUUACUUUUCCACAGAAAACUGCCCGAAAUAAUCGGGAGGAAGGCGAGGACGACGUCAAAUCAGCAUGGCCCUUACGCCCUGGGCUACACACGUGCUACAAUGGCCAGCACAAAGGGUUGCUAAGCCGAAAGGUGGAGCUAAUCUCAUCAAAGCUGGUCUCAGUUCGAAUUGAGGUCUGCAACUCGACCUCAUGAAGCUGGAAUCACUAGUAACCGUGGAUCAGCCUCGCCACGGUGAAUACGUUCUCGGGUUUUGUACUCACCGCCCGUCACGUCAAGAGAGUCGGUAACACCCGAAGUCUCACGGUUGUGGGCCUAAGGUGGGAUCGAUGAUAGGGACGAAGUCGUAACAAGGCAUCCGUAGCGGAAGCUGUGGAUGGAUCACCUCCUUU
This 1219-nucleotide ribosomal RNA is filed under the name Candidatus Falkowiibacteriota bacterium. Its description in RNAcentral is "bacterial SSU rRNA". It matches the Rfam family "Bacterial small subunit ribosomal RNA", at positions 279 to 1533 of the family's 1533-position model. Lineage: Bacteria; Candidatus Falkowiibacteriota. The record is from RNAcentral.